Molecule: unclassified non-coding RNA, 240 nt
Filed under: soil metagenome
Description: partial contains 5.8S ribosomal RNA, internal transcribed spacer 2, and large subunit ribosomal RNA
Source: RNAcentral
AACGAGGCCGACCUGCGGCUGAGUUACCUGCGGAGGGAUCAUUACCAGAGAGCCUUUUGGCACUCCAACCCAUUGUGAACAUACCUAUCGUUCCCUCGGCGGGCUCAGCGCGCGGGGCCUCCGGGCUUCCGGGCGUCCGCCGGGGACAACCAAACCCUGAUUUACUACGUGUAUCUCUGAGGGGCGAAAGCCCGAAAACAAAAUAAAUCAAAACUUUCAACAAUGGAUCUCAGAUCGGAA